UACGGAGGGUGCAAGCGUUGUUCGGAAUUAUUGGGCGUAAAGCGCGCGUAGGCGGACUGUUAAGUCUGAUGUGAAAUCCCUCGGCUCAACCGAGGAACUGCAUUGGAUACUGGCAGCCUUGAGUCUCGGAGAGGAAAGCGGAAUUCCCAGUGUAGAGGUGAAAUUCGUAGAUAUUGGGAGGAACACCAGCGGCGAAGGCGGCUUUCUGGACGAUGACUGACGCUGAGGUGCGAAAGCAUGGGUAGCAAAC
Molecule: ribosomal RNA, 250 nt
Filed under: uncultured bacterium
Lineage: Bacteria
Description: partial 16S ribosomal RNA
Rfam family: Bacterial small subunit ribosomal RNA
Source: RNAcentral